UCCUAGGUGUUGUCCCGGUUUUCCAGGAUUUCCAUAUGGUCAGCCUACUUCAAAGUCGCUACUUUCUGGUGUGUGUCCCUUUAUCAUACCAUGCCCAGCUGAUCCUGACCUUGCAGUAAAAUCCAGUGAGAAUAGCUGAAACACAUUGACUCUGGACAACCUGGCUGCUUCUUUCUCCACCUGAGAUGCAAGGCAGUCACUCAGGACAGCCAGAUUUGAGUGUCCAGCACCAACUGGAACUCUGAGUGGAAAAGGUGGAGUAUAGGGGAGGAGGAGCCCCACAGAAGACAUCGACCUAUGCCAACUUCAGCCAACUCUCUUUGAGCAGGAUUUUGGCUUUGCUGCCACCACCUUUGUGAUGUGCCAAUCUGGUGGAGUCUUGCUUCUCAGCUUCCCCAGAGGAGGGUUCAUCUUUGUUGCUCAUAAGCAGCACAGAAUCUGAUACAGAUAGUGAUCCUGGGACUGGCCAAGCAAACUGUAUGACUCCAGGUUUCCUGGGACACGGGAGGAAAAUCCAGGUGGAUCAGCCUCAGCUGUGAAAGUGAAUAGAAAGGAUGAAGUGUACUUCUUCCCCUCCUCACCCUUGUCUCUUAACAGGGGUGUUUGCUGCUGUGGUUGUGUGCGUGUUCAUUUGGCUGUGUUUCCUGAUUUGUCCACCUAUCACAUGGAUCGCUCUGCAAAUUUGCCAGUGCUCACUGUUUAGAGAGGAGCACUAGGAAUUUUAUAUAUAUGUAAACAAUCUAUAUAUAAAGAGAAAUGAAUUCGCAAUAAUAAAAUUAAAAAUCA
Molecule: long non-coding RNA, 786 nt
Organism: Alligator mississippiensis (American alligator)
Lineage: Eukaryota; Metazoa; Chordata; Crocodylia; Alligatoridae
Exons: 4
Source: RefSeq, a predicted model, not a curated record